UAUUUAAAAUACCCGACAAUAGAACUCCAGUGCUCGACAGUUGUACUCCAAACGCGACAAUAGAACUCCAAUAAUAAUGAGCUGUGACUGUGCAACCAACUUAAGAUUCAAAAACUCAUUACCAGAUUUCGCCAGUGUCGCCUUUGUUGUUGUUACAUCGUGAAAUGAGGCAAAAUAGGCGAAACAAUUGGAUGCUAAUUAAUACUUAUAUUCCUGUGAUUUCAUAUACCAAAUUGAACUUCGUAUCAUAUAUGCAUACUGUCAGUCAUUCCAAAAAGUUGACUUAGCGCUCAGUCACUUUCCCUCCAAUAGACCCAUCAUUUUGUCAAAAGCCUAUAACUCAUGUGUGAAGCUCACACAUUGUGGAAUACAAAUGUGUGAAGACAAGUUAUUUCCCGAUUACUGCUACCACACCAACCACACCACGUCAAAUGCCUUACUCAAUUCAGCAGCAGUCACCCAUAUGAUAAAGCAUCAGGAAAUUUACCGCAACCUGAGGAGUAAGGCUGUUGGUUGCUGUGAUUUCCAUUUUUGUGGUUUUUUAUCAUGAAAACUUCAGUGUGCUUGUUAAUAUAGAGCAUGUAAUAGAUCCUUAAGCCAAUGCUGACCUUUGUCCAUGAAGGAAGAGGGACAUCCAGCAACGUUCUGCUCCAUCCUUUGCUUCCCGACGUACGCUCAUCUAGCUUCACUGCUUUUGCUGCUACAACUUGUCUUACUUCACCGACGAGUUGGAACACUUCAGUGGUCUACCCCCUUUGCUGUUACACACCUGCAGUUACUCACCACGGAAUUAUGCCCAGGUAAUGCUGAAGAGACGUCGAGAAGAUGGACACCAAAAC
Molecule: long non-coding RNA, 839 nt
Organism: Daphnia pulicaria
Lineage: Eukaryota; Metazoa; Arthropoda; Branchiopoda; Diplostraca; Daphniidae
Exons: 5
Source: RefSeq, a predicted model, not a curated record